Molecule: ribosomal RNA, 224 nt
Filed under: uncultured bacterium
Lineage: Bacteria
Description: partial 16S ribosomal RNA
Rfam family: Bacterial small subunit ribosomal RNA
Source: RNAcentral
UGAGCAAUCUGCCCUUCUCAUCGGAAUAACCAUUGGAAACGAUGGCUAAUACCGAAUACGACCUCGGAUCGCAUGAUCUGAGGUGGAAAGCUCCGGCGGUGAAGGAUGAGCUCGCGGCCUAUCAGCUUGUUGGUGAGGUAAUAGCUCACCAAGGCGAUGACGGGUAGCCGGCCUGAGGAGGGUGACCGGCCACACGUGGGACUGAGACACGGCCCAGACCUCCG